Molecule: non-coding RNA, 217 nt
Filed under: Halalkalibacter krulwichiae
Lineage: Bacteria; Bacillati; Bacillota; Bacilli; Caryophanales; Bacillaceae
Description: Bacillus krulwichiae T-box sequence
Rfam family: T-box leader
About the family: Uncharged tRNA acts as the effector for transcription antitermination of genes in the T-box leader family. T-boxes are found upstream of many aminoacyl-tRNA synthetase genes and some amino acid biosynthetic genes usually in Gram-positive bacteria. The anticodon of a specific tRNA base pairs to a specifier sequence within the T-box motif, and the NCCA acceptor tail of the tRNA base pairs to a conserved bulge in the T-box antiterminator hairpin.
Source: RNAcentral
AAAAAGACGAUGAUAGGGACGAGUACAGUGUAUAAAAUGUGCUUAGCGAUUCAGGGAUGGUGAAAGCCUGGACAUGUUCACACUAGAAAAUCACCCUUAAGUCUUGCACUGAAAUGAUAGUAGGCUGCAACGAGUUAUUCACGUUACGAAUCAAGAGUGGAAAGGGGUAAUUCCUUUUCAACAGGGUGGUACCACGGGUUAACUUCUCGUCCCUUUU